Molecule: transfer RNA, 73 nt
Filed under: Ictidomys tridecemlineatus (thirteen-lined ground squirrel)
Lineage: Eukaryota; Metazoa; Chordata; Mammalia; Rodentia; Sciuridae
Description: Spermophilus tridecemlineatus (thirteen-lined ground squirrel) tRNA
Rfam family: tRNA
About the family: Transfer RNA (tRNA) molecules are approximately 80 nucleotides in length. Their secondary structure includes four short double-helical elements and three loops (D, anti-codon, and T loops).
Source: Rfam by way of RNAcentral
GGGGAUAUAGCUCAGUUGGUAGAGUGGCUUUCUUGCAUGCACAAGGCCCUGGGUUCAAUCCCCAGCACUACCA